GAUGAACGCUGGCGGCGUGCCUAAUACAUGCAAGUCGAGCGAACAGACGAGGUGCUUGCUCCUCUGACGUUAGCGUCGGACGGGUGAGUAACACGUGGAUAUCCUACCUAUACGACUUGGAUAACUUCGGGAAACCGGAGCUCAUACCGGGUAAUAUAUUGAUCCGUAUGGUUCUAUAUUGAAAGACGGUUUUGCUGUCACUUAUAUAUGGAUCCGCGUCGCAUUAGAUAGUUGGUAAGGUAACGGCUUACCAAGGCAACGAUGCGUAGCCGACCUGAGAGGGGGAUGGGCAAGGUUGGAACGGAGACAAGGCACAGACCACAACGGGAGGCGGCGGAAGGGAAUCGUACGCAAUGGGCGAAAGCCUGACGGGGAAAAGCGGCGUGGGUGAUGAAGGUCAUCGGAUCGGAAAACACUGUUAUUAGGGAAGAACAAAUGUGUAAGUAACUAUGCACGUCUUGACGGUAGCUAAUCAGAAAGCCACGGCUAACUACGUG
This 497-nucleotide ribosomal RNA is filed under the name uncultured bacterium. RNAcentral describes it as "partial 16S ribosomal RNA". It matches the Rfam family "Bacterial small subunit ribosomal RNA", at positions 28 to 507 of the family's 1533-position model. The record is from RNAcentral.